RNAcentral lists this ribosomal RNA (329 nucleotides) under uncultured eukaryote. Its description in RNAcentral is "partial 18S ribosomal RNA". It matches the Rfam family "Eukaryotic small subunit ribosomal RNA", at positions 1470 to 1796 of the family's 1831-position model. The record is from RNAcentral.
CCCUUAAAUGUUCUGGGCCGCACGCGCGCUACACUGACAGAGCCAACGAGUUCUUCACCUUGGCCGGAAGGUCUGGGUAAUCUUGUUAAACUCUGUCGUGCUGGGGAUAGAGCAUUGCAAUUAUUGCUCUUCAACGAGGAAUGCCUAGUAAGCGCGUGUCAUCAGCACGCGUUGAUUACGUCCCUGCCCUUUGUACACACCGCCCGUCGCUACUACCGAUUGAAUGGCUCAGUGAGGCCUUCGGACUGGCUCAGGGAGGUUGGCAACGACCACCCCGAGCCGGAAAGUUCGUCAAACUCGGUCAUUUAGAGGAAGUAAAAGUCGUAACA